UUUACUUCUAUCACUGCCUUUAGAAAAGCAAAAAUCUCUCACAUUGUGGUCAGCAAAUUUCAGCCCACUCAUGGGGUCAAUGGCUAUCAAGCUUACAGUUUCUGAAAGUUGAAGAAAAAUAGUUUUUCACAUAGGAAAGUUAAUUGAAAUUGAAACUUUAGCAACUAUAAAUAUGGUUUCAUUAGAACACAACUAUGUGCAUUUCUCUACAUAUUGCCUGUGACCAUGUUUCACUGUCAAACAGAAUUGAAGUUACAUGAGACACUAGAUCACAAAGCCUAAAAUAUUUACACUCUAGCCUUUAACAGAGACAAAUCUGUAGACUUUGUUCUGGGGUGAAGAAGGCCUGGGGUUCUGUAUCUAUGUCAUUUGCUGCUUCUUUUAAGCUUCAUCUAUAAAAUAAGAUGACAUGAUGAGGAUGGACCCAGGACCUCAUAGGAUCAAAUAAGAUCAUAUAAAGGAAACCUGUAAGUCCCAGCAAGCUAUGGAAUUAUUCUGACUUCAAAAGCCAAAACCAUGUCCCCUGCUUCUCUGUGUGGGCCAGUGUGGGCUGGACUCUCUGGGCUAGAUUGCUCUGCUCUGCUACCUCACGACUUCACUCCUCUGUCACCUUGUCCCAUGACAGCAGCAAACUUUUCAAUAGGUGGCCUCUGCAGCUUUGGGUCAGGCAUCUCUCCAGUCAUCACUGCAUUAAGCAGUUAAAGGAAUCUUCCCUAAAGGUGCAGUUGAUCAUGCCUGACCUCUCUAUUUUAUCUGUUUGUUCUUGAUGUCCAACAGAAAUGGCCCAGGCCUUUAGACUCGGCAUAUCUUGUAGGCACAUGUUGUCUGGGUUCCAGCUCCCUGAUGUUUCCUUGUAAGGCUUGAGAACCUCACAUCGUCCCUCACCUGCAGCAGUGACACUCGUUGCUCUCGAUGCAAGGAAGAUUCCUACCCCAUCCCCAACACACCACCCUUAGUUGUGGACCAAAAUGAUGCCUCUGCUUUCAGAACUGACCCCGCUUUCUUCAGAAGCCUUUCCUCCCUCGACUCUGCCUCCACCCUCAGGCCAGUCUAGUUCAGGACACCUGAGGGCUCUGGUCUUUUUCUCGCUCACAGUCAUAGUGUAGUGCUUAGCAGAGAGUAGGUAAUUGCUUGAUUAUUAAUUAACAAAUGGAGGCAUAUUUAACAUUGAGUUACAGUAAAUUAAGAGAGUAACUCUUACUUCUGCAUCCUGUAUUUUUGCCUCUGUUCAUUAAGAAUGCAUCAAAUGUAUACCAAAAGCAAACUUCAACUUCCAACUGCUUUUAACAUAGAAGAAAUUUCAGUAACCACCCCACUCUACCCAGCUAUAAGGUUAGAAAGUCAUCUAUUUCCUUUUCUUUUCAUAAGCACGUGUAGGUUUAUUACACAAUACCAUUUACUAUAAGAAGCAAGGGUCAAAACUCAAAUUCUUUGACUAGGCAAAUAUUUCCCCUCAUGUCCAUAUUACUGGCUGAAGGUAUAUAAAAGCAUGUCCUCUUUUACCUGAUCAUGGACCUACUUACAGCUGUCUGUUGUACAUGAAUUGCAUGGACAAAUCUUGGAACAAUCUUCAAGAUCUUCAUCUUAGAACUCACAGCUCUCUGAAAGAUUUCCCUGCCUGCUUUCUACAGCUAGCGGAAAUCCAGUCACACUCAUCACUGGAGGCCUCGAGAUGUUUACGGUACUAUAAAUUGCAGAGUUUCGAGUGCUCUGCAGCAGAAGGCAGGCUUUUCUGUGCAUGGUACGCUGUCGAGUUGGGUCUUAAUUUAACACACUCUGUACACUAUGAAUACAGGAGUGACAAAUUCACGAAGUUGGGGCUAAGAAGGGGCUGCCUAUAGACACAGAGGCCUCCCUGGCACAUACUUAGAAAUUUGCCAAAAAGAUGGUGGUGGAAAAGGCAUCCUUCUAACUUCACAUCUCUAUUCAGGAGUUAAAAUGAAUAAUUAAGAGGAGCUUGUGAUUCUACACCAUCCCAGAACAAGGACGAAUGAGAGAGGGAAACAUCCUGACAAUAAUUUAAAGUGAAUCCUGGAAGUGAAUCUUUUGCUGAGAUUGUUUAUUGUUGCUAUUGUUUGUUUUUAUAAGAAAGUAAAAGACUCUAGGCAGCAAAAUCUAAGGUGGUAACUGCAGCAGUAAGAUGGUGGGGUACAGAGAGGGUCCAGUAAGGAGAAAGGAUAGGGUACGGGGGCGGGGGGAAGGUGGAAGGGCAUGAUUCCCUCGCAGUGUGGGCAUCUCUACCCUGCCCUUAGAUAAUGCUAACAAGCUACUUGCUCUUUUCCUUCCUUCCUCCAGGCAAGCCCACUCCUGAACUGCACAGUGUUACCAUUCAGCAGAGACAGAACAAAAGUAGCCGCUAAAGUAGAGAAAUCAGAAGGCACAAGGCUAAGGCUAUGUUUUGUUUCUCCAGAAAGUUGUUCCUGACUAGCUCCUGGCUGGCAAGGCUCACCAGGUCUCAGGUAAGACACCCGUCUCCCAGACUCUGUUCUACCCUCAUGGGUACUUGGCAUGUGUGUAAAGGACAGGGGGCUCAUGGCAGUGCUGACCCGCACCCACUGGAUUUCACAUAAAUGGUCCCUGGCUGACCACAGAAGCUGGGGGAUGGAAGAGAAGGAAGGGUUAAUCAGCACAGUGAACAAGUGACAGCACAUACAAAUUGCUUUUCUGCAGGGCCAGGAAGGCUGAGGCCAAGUGCUCUUGUCACACAGCCUGCAGGAUGGCCCCUCAUUUCAUGGGAACAGGUUUCUAAUGUGUGAGGUGGCCCCGCCCCUUCUUCACAAGCAGCUGUACUUGGAAGCAAAUGAUUUAGUGUUCCUGUGAGAGAGGAUCGUACAAAGAGAGAGCUCAUUAGAGGGGGCUCAGUCUGUCAGGUGCUGUUACAUAGGCUCAGAGAGUCAUCAUAAAACAACUUUCAGGCUGGUCUUGGCUGACAAUUAACUGCACGCCAUCGCCUGUGUGUCAUGGGGAGGCAAGGGCGCUGAUUUAUGCAGAGUUUAAUUACCCAGCCGCAGGACUCUGCUCCCUGGAUUUGUAUCACUCCAGCCUGCUUCAUCUCUCCCCCAUAUUUCUGACAUUUGGAUUUUCCCCCUACUAAUUGACAUGCCUAUCCCCUCCUUCUCCUGGUGUCCAUUUCUGGAACUGCUAUUUGUAUAUUGCAUGAUAUUUUAUCAGGGAAAAAUAAAACUGAGAUCCAAUUUCACGAAAAUGCUGUUGCCAUAAUGCUCAGGAGAGCAGGGGGAGGAGAGAGUCAAGUCUUCCUCAGGUCCACCUCAUGCGCAGCAGUGAACACUUUCCCAGGAGAGAGCAGAGGCUGAGAGGAAGAAAAUCUCAGAGUCCUGAGAGCCCCCAUAUUUAAGAGGAGCAGAUUUCAGAGGAGAGAAAAGGAGCCGAAGGGACCAGAUGUCUCACUGUCCUAAGUUGGGAAGACGUAGAAGAAUGACUAGAGGUGUGGAAGAAAGAAGCUAAUUGUUUCGGUAAAGCAUUGCUGUCCAGAAGACUUUUCUACCUUCCUAAAAUGUCCCAUAAUCUGAACUGUGCACUAGACUAGCAAGUGGAUGGUGUGAAUGUACCAUCCUUCAAAAUCUGAACUCAUAGGCAAGACACUGUAUUUUAGUCCUCAAACUAAUACAAGUCCUUGACUGUCCUACUGGCCGGUGCUGAGACUCCAGGGUCCUGAUGGCACAGACCCACUGCACUGAGGCCCGGCUGCUUUCUCUGGGUACCACACAGCCUGUCACUGGUCUCUUCCAGUAGGUCACAGGAGAGCCCAUUCCUCCUACAGCUAAAGGACCAGAACAAGGUCUCCUUGAGCGGAACCACAAGGCCAAAGAUAAGGGAAAAAGAUGCUCAAGUAAGGGAACCAAAUGGAUGAAGUUUCCUAUUUUAUGCCCGGAACAAAACUUGUUCUGUUUUUUCCUUUAUGUUUCCCAGGAACUGUGUUUGGAAUUGCUGUGACUUUCUUUUUUGACAAAUAAAGAGAUGAAUGACAAAUU
This is a long non-coding RNA of Nannospalax galili (Upper Galilee mountains blind mole rat), 3992 nucleotides long. RefSeq lists it as uncharacterized. The record is from RefSeq and is a predicted model, not a curated record. NCBI's taxonomy places the organism in Eukaryota, Metazoa, Chordata, Mammalia, Rodentia, Spalacidae. The transcript has 7 exons.